UACGUAGGUCCCGAGCGUUGUCCGGAUUUAUUGGGCGUAAAGCGCGCGUAGGCGGCUUUUCAAGUCAGGGGUGAAAUCCCACGGCCCAACCGUGGAACUGCCUUUGAAACUGUAGAGCUUGAGUGUCGGAGAGGGUGGCGGAAUUCCAGGUGUAGGAGUGAAAUCCGUAGAUAUCUGGAGGAACACCGGUGGCGAAGGCGGCCACCUGGACGACAACUGACGCUGAGGUGCGAAAGCGUGGGUAGCAAACAGG
Molecule: ribosomal RNA, 253 nt
Filed under: uncultured bacterium
Lineage: Bacteria
Description: partial 16S ribosomal RNA
Rfam family: Bacterial small subunit ribosomal RNA
Source: RNAcentral